CUCUGAAUGUUUUAUUAGAGCGAAUACUUAGUACUUCAUAAAAUCCCUCGCAUUGUGUCCCUGACCUACAGGAUAAGAAUCAUUAUAGUGGGAGAGACAAAAAAAGAAAGAAAGAAAGAAAGAAGGAAGAGAGAAGAGAAGAGAAGGAAAAGGAAAAGAAAACACCAAUUCAACUUGCCAGAAACAGCGACCAACACUGAGCUCCUGAUAUGGCACAAUCCCUCCAGGAGACCAACCUGGCACUUGAUGACAAGUUGAUCACGCUAGGCACAGUAACAACAUAUUCCAGUUCUGACCUGAGAGUGGGCCCCAGGUACGAAACUGCAGCUGUAAAGGUGCCACAGGCAGCCAAACUUGGAAGCAAUCAAGAUGUCUUUC
This is a long non-coding RNA of Balaenoptera ricei (Rice's whale), 378 nucleotides long. RefSeq lists it as uncharacterized. NCBI's taxonomy places the organism in Eukaryota, Metazoa, Chordata, Mammalia, Artiodactyla, Balaenopteridae. The record is from RefSeq and is a predicted model, not a curated record. The transcript has 3 exons.